UUAUAUUGUAUGUACCUGUAUUGUGUGUACCUAUGCUGGCUUAUACUGUAUGUACUUACACUGUACCAUUUAUGGUCGGAGCUGCCCUGCCCUGGCAUGUAGUCACAGUUAGGUAGAAGAGUUAUAAAAACUUUAGUAUUCAUCUGUCUUUUAUGGGAUUUUGGGUGGAAAAUUUAUUGGUCCAGAGCGGGGACAAGUCCUAGCUGUCAGAUAGCCACUCAUUGACCACUUCCUGUCAUCUCACAGGUGGUCCCCGAGGCUACCGAUUUCCCCACAAUCUACCAUCUGACGUCAAGGAGCAGCAGCCAGAAGACGUGUCGAAGCACAUUCUUCAGUGUCUCAAGGUAAAGCCAAAAGCUGUCAUGAUCAAAAAUGCAGGCUGCCCUUCUGUCCUGAGUCACAGGGGCCGUUUCUUCUGAAUGACUCAAGAUGGGAAAUCAUUCUUGGAGCUUCAGAAGAAAAGAACCCCAAAACCAGUGCAGCCGCCCAAGAAGGGAUUUUUUGUGGCUCAGCCAGAUGUGCUCCUGCCUCCCACCGAGACGCUUAGACGGAGGUGAGUUUGCAUUCCAAUGUC
Molecule: non-coding RNA, 574 nt
Organism: Agelaius phoeniceus (red-winged blackbird)
Lineage: Eukaryota; Metazoa; Chordata; Aves; Passeriformes; Icteridae
Source: RefSeq, a predicted model, not a curated record